AAAAAGGUGGCCUCUAUACAAAGCUAUCGCCGAAGGAGGGGUUUUGCGUCUGAUUAGCUGGUUGGAGGGGUAACGGCCCAACAAGGCGAUGAUCAGUAGCCGGUCUGAGAGGAUGAACGGCCACAUUGGGACUGAGACACGGCCCAGACUCCUACGGGAGGCAGCAGUGGGGAAUCUUCCGCAAUGGACGAAAGUCUGACGGAGCAACGCCGCGUGAGUGAAGAAGGUCUUCGGAUUGUAAAGCUCUGUUAUACGGGACGAAAAAGACGGAUGCCAACAGUAUCCGUCCGUGACGGUACCGUAAGAGAAAGCCACGGCUAACUACGUGCCAGCAGCCGCGGUAAAU
Molecule: ribosomal RNA, 346 nt
Filed under: uncultured Megasphaera sp.
Lineage: Bacteria; Bacillati; Bacillota; Negativicutes; Veillonellales; Veillonellaceae
Description: bacterial SSU rRNA
Rfam family: Bacterial small subunit ribosomal RNA
Source: RNAcentral